UGAAACUGAUAGUCUUGAGGGCAGGAGAGGAAAGUGGAAUUCCUGGUGUAGCGGUGAAAUGCGUAGAAAUCAGGAGGAACACCGGUGGCGAAGGCGACUUCCUGGACUGCCCCUGACGCUG
Molecule: ribosomal RNA, 121 nt
Filed under: uncultured bacterium
Lineage: Bacteria
Description: partial 16S ribosomal RNA
Rfam family: Bacterial small subunit ribosomal RNA
Source: RNAcentral